RNAcentral lists this ribosomal RNA (373 nucleotides) under uncultured bacterium. Its description in RNAcentral is "bacterial SSU rRNA". It matches the Rfam family "Bacterial small subunit ribosomal RNA", at positions 28 to 402 of the family's 1533-position model. The record is from RNAcentral.
GACGAACGCUGGCGGCGUGCUUAACACAUGCAAGUCGAGCGGUAAGGCCCUUUCGGGGGUACACGAGCGGCGAACGGGUGAGUAACACGUGGGUGACCUGCCCUCAGCUCUGGGAUAAGCCUGGGAAACUGGGUCUAAUACUGGAUAUGACUCCACGGUGCAUGUCGUGGGGUGGAAAGCCUUGUGCGGCUGAGGAUGGGCCCGCGGCCUAUCAGCUUGUUGGUGGGGUGAUGGCCUACCAAGGCGACGACGGGUAGCCGGCCUGAGAGGGCGACCGGCCACACUGGGACUGAGACACGGCCCAGACUCCUACGGGAGGCAGCAGUGGGGAAUCUUGCGCAAUGGGCGAAAGCCUGACACAGCGACGCCGCGU